Myripristis murdjan (pinecone soldierfish) is the source of this 375-nucleotide long non-coding RNA. RefSeq lists it as uncharacterized. Lineage: Eukaryota; Metazoa; Chordata; Actinopteri; Holocentriformes; Holocentridae. The transcript has 3 exons. The record is from RefSeq and is a predicted model, not a curated record.
GUCAUCUGGACGACGGCGGGUGAUCAAGGACCGCAGGGCGCGGAUCAAACCCUCCUGCAGCUGCUCCACAGCCCGCAUGUCAGAGAUGCCAGAACGGUCUGAACAACACAGAGGAUCCCAGUAGACCAGCACCACGGCCAUGAAGAGGGCCAUCUCGUCAGGCUCCAGCCCCAGAGAGCCCAACUUCUCACUGAACUCAAACAUUGCGUCCAGCAGAGAGCCCAUGCCCAGGGCCCGCAGGGUGGACAGUGGGCGGCAUCAACACAAAAGCGUCCGUGAGAGCGUGGAAGCGGCGGGAGGAGGGCCCGGGAAUCACGCGUCGCACGCGGCUCUGCAAGGGAAGCCACGUGAGGACGCUUUUGACGGUGCUUUCAC